AAGAUACAGAAAAAUAAUUGCUUGGGAUGUACAGACAUGAAAAUUUGAGCCGAUAUUGAUAUCGAUGUUAAUACUGUUAUGUCAGACUUCACCAAUAUUUCAUUUUAUCAAUAUUUUUUUAUUCGAUUACUCAAUUAGUCGUCAGAAUAAUCAAUAGAUUACUCAAUUACUAAAACAAUCUUUUACAACAGCUAUGCAUGCUUAAAGAAAUAUGUAAAAAUAUAAAUAAAUAAAAUAUUUAUAAAAGUUCAAUAGUGGCAGGAUGGUAUGAACUACCAUAAACUCAAAGAAAAAAAAAAAAAAUCAAGUUCCUCUGCUUUUUCCCAGUACUAUGUAGGAACAACCAAUCAGAGCCAGGAGGCAGGUCUUAGUGAUGGCAUUGCUCGCCCUCCCCUUACUUCUUGUUCUCUGCUAUGCUGCAGCUAGCAGAAACUGUUUUGAAUGCUCAAGCCAGUUAGCACAGCCACCAAUGACAGCAGAUAAAUGGUUUUCCUGUAAUAGUGAGUUGUUUC
Xiphophorus hellerii (green swordtail) is the source of this 512-nucleotide long non-coding RNA. RefSeq lists it as uncharacterized. Lineage: Eukaryota; Metazoa; Chordata; Actinopteri; Cyprinodontiformes; Poeciliidae. The transcript is spliced from 3 exons. The record is from RefSeq and is a predicted model, not a curated record.